RNAcentral lists this ribosomal RNA (380 nucleotides) under uncultured cyanobacterium. RNAcentral describes it as "bacterial SSU rRNA". It matches the Rfam family "Bacterial small subunit ribosomal RNA", at positions 376 to 770 of the family's 1533-position model. Lineage: Bacteria; Bacillati; Cyanobacteriota. The record is from RNAcentral.
CGAAAGCCUGACGGAGCAACGCCGCGUGAGGGAAGAAGGUCUUUGGAUUGUAAACCUCUUUUCUCAAGGAAGAAGUCAGUGACGGUACUUGAGGAAUCAGCAUCGGCUAACUCCGUGCCAGCAGCCGCGGUAAUACGGGGGAUGCAAGCGUUAUCCGGAAUUAUUGGGCGUAAAGCGUUCGUAGGCGGUUUUAUAAGUCUGCUGUCAAAGUGCGGAGCUCAACUCCGUAAGAGCAGUGGAAACUGUGAGACUUGAGUGUGGUAGGGGUAGAGGGAAUUCCCAGUGUAGCGGUGAAAUGCGUAGAUAUUGGGAAGAACACCGGUGGCGAAAGCGCUCUACUGGGCCAUAACUGACGCUGAGGGACGAAAGCUAGGGGAGCG